Leopardus geoffroyi (Geoffroy's cat) is the source of this 525-nucleotide long non-coding RNA. RefSeq lists it as uncharacterized. The record is from RefSeq and is a predicted model, not a curated record. NCBI's taxonomy places the organism in Eukaryota, Metazoa, Chordata, Mammalia, Carnivora, Felidae. The transcript has 2 exons.
UAAAGAUGGGAUGGAGGUAGAUACUACACCAACAGUUGUUGGCCUGUUUGGAGAUGCAAAUACUCAUCACUGAAAAUGAUUUAUGCUGCUUUGGAAUUGUCAUAAAUAGAGAAGAAAACUUGGUGCCUCUUCCACUGUGGAGUGGAUGUUGAUGAAAGUCUUUUUCCUUCUCUAAAACUUACCUGAACCCGUCCUUUUUUUUUUUGAAACAGACCAUACUGAGACAACAAGUUGUCACCAGCAGAAGAAACUAUGAUCUUUAUUUUAAAAGGGAGUGGAGUUAAACCAGUCAGUCUGGAAUUUUUUGUUCAGCCAGUGAAGUCAUCUUCGUGAAGAGGUCUCCUGCUUCUCCCCCUAGGGAAGGUGACCUCGCCUGAAACCAUCCUUUCUUUUCUUUUGCUAAUAACUUCCUUGCCCCACCCUCUUUUCUGCAGAACUACUGUAUACAACUCCUCAGACUUUUCUAGGUGGGACGUUGCUCAAUUCAGGAAUCAUUGAAUAAAGCCAAUGCGAUCUUCAAAUGUA